GACGAACGCUGGCGGCGUGCCUAAUACAUGCAAGUGGAACGCUGAAGGAGGAGCUUGCUUCUCCGGAUGAGUUGCGAACGGGUGAGUAACGCGUAGGUAACCUGCCUGGUAGCGGGGGAUAACUAUUGGAAACGAUAGCUAAUACCGCAUAAGAGUAGAUGUUGCAUGACAUUUGCUUAAAAGGUGCAAUUGCAUCACUACCAGAUGGACCUGCGUUGUAUUAGCUAGUUGGUGGGGUAACGGCUCACCAAGGCGACGAUACAUAGCCGACCUGAGAGGGUGAUCGGCCACACUGGGACUGAGACACGGCCCAGACUCCUACGGGAGGCAGCAGUAGGGAAUCUUCGGCAAUGGACGGAAGUCUGACCGAGCAACGCCGCGUGAGUGAAGAAGGUUUUCGGAUCGUAAAGCUCUGUUGUAAGAGAAGAACGGGUGUGAGAGUGGAAAGUUCACACUGUGACGGUAUC
RNAcentral lists this ribosomal RNA (467 nucleotides) under Streptococcus mitis. RNAcentral describes it as "bacterial SSU rRNA". It matches the Rfam family "Bacterial small subunit ribosomal RNA", at positions 28 to 479 of the family's 1533-position model. Lineage: Bacteria; Bacillati; Bacillota; Bacilli; Lactobacillales; Streptococcaceae. The record is from RNAcentral.